RNAcentral lists this small nuclear RNA (20 nucleotides) under Arabidopsis thaliana (thale cress). RNAcentral describes it as "snRNA_03365". Lineage: Eukaryota; Viridiplantae; Streptophyta; Magnoliopsida; Brassicales; Brassicaceae. The record is from RNAcentral.
CUAGCCCCGAAAAUGGAUGG